ACACUGCUGGUUAGGGGCAGGGCUGGGGCUAGAGUCCAUGUAGCUCUGGAAAAAGUUUGGGCAGAUGCUAUCUCAUCCCAUGAACUUCUUCCCUUGCUACCCAUUCUAUCUCCCCAAAGGAGGUCCCUGAUAACCUAACAUGGUCAGGGAACUACCUGGGCUCACUCACAGCUCUUAAAGCACUUGCUGGGACCUUGGCCAGGUGGAGUUACCAAAAUCCUGUAGACUGGAGGCAGGGGGAUCCAACUAUCACCAUAUUAGAGAUUGGCAAACUGAGGCUGCUAGCUAACCGCAGAGGGCAAGAUUUGAUAUUGAGUACUGUGUUCUUCCUGCAGAAAGACCUGAGAAGCCCAAACUCCCACAUAUGCAGAGUCACUAUUUACAAUAAUCAUGACUGCUGACUUCCUAAUGUCAGGGAAAUCCCCUCACUCCCACCAGUUCCUCCUGAAACAGAGCCUCCCUCCAUCUUGCACAGGGUGUCUGACUUAGGAAACAAACUGUACACCCACCCUCCUAAGCCACGCAGGCCUACUAGAUUGAUCACCUCCAAGUCAUACCCUUUAAUGGGGAAAUUUUUGUGCCAGGCACUUGACAUCGUCACUGCUCACAUCGGCCCUGAGCCCCUGCCCGGGGGUACUGAUGCCCCAUUUACAGAGGGACAAGCCCGAUUUCGGAGAGGUGAAGUCACUCGCCGAAAGUCGCACCGCCAGGGUCUGCGUGACACCCCAAAGCAGUGUUCAGUUACUCCGGGGAGAGCGCGAUGAACUUGAACCACUUGUUGGCUGGUUCCUGCUCUUGCUCGUUUUUUACGGAUCGGCACAUAGUGGGCGCUCAGGAAAAUAUAUGUUGGAAGUUUGAGAUUGAACUUGACAGCUCGACUCUGGGUACCCGCCACGAAUCCAGCCCAGCCCGCGGGGCACCGGGUUUCUCCAGACCUCGCAGGGAACAUUUGCGGAUGGGCUGGUAGAGGAGGCUCGGACAUCCCAGCUCCGCACCCGCACUCGACCAACGCGUGGUAGCGGAACCCCUGUCGUAGCGAGGCACAGAAUGGGUUCAAGUCCCGACUCUGCCGAUUUCAGGCUGAGUGACUUUGGGCGAGUCACUUUUUCCCAUCGAAACCUCAGUUGCUCCAUCCACAAAAUGGGAGAUAUGAACACCCACCCUAAAAGGGUGUGGGGAGGAUUAAACGAAACAACGUUCCCAAAA
Molecule: long non-coding RNA, 1206 nt
Organism: Nomascus leucogenys (northern white-cheeked gibbon)
Lineage: Eukaryota; Metazoa; Chordata; Mammalia; Primates; Hylobatidae
Exons: 2
Source: RefSeq, a predicted model, not a curated record